RNAcentral lists this ribosomal RNA (666 nucleotides) under Triticum aestivum (bread wheat). Its description in RNAcentral is "partial small subunit ribosomal RNA". The record is from RNAcentral. Lineage: Eukaryota; Viridiplantae; Streptophyta; Magnoliopsida; Poales; Poaceae.
AUGGAGCAAUGGUACUGCCUAGAGCAGAUCAUUGAAAACACUUGUUUCCAGGAAUGUGAUGACUCCCUGGUCUGGCAAUAUGAAGCUAAGGGUGAAUACACCACGGGAUCACUAUACAUCAUCAUUAACUUUUGGGGGGUGCAACCAGUUUAUAUUCCCGCAGUUUGGUCUAUUAAAAUCCCACCUAGGGUGCAAGUCUUCCUCUGGUUGCUCUCUCACAAUAAACUCAUCACUAAAGAUAAUUUAGCUAAAAGAGGCAUUGAAAAAAACCCUGAUUGUGUCUACUGUACUGACAAAAAAACCAUUGAUCACCUUUUCUUUGGAUGUGUGGUGGCCAAGCAAAUCUGGAGGCAGGUCUCAAUUCUGCUCUCCAUUGAACUGGGUUCAGAUUAUCUCUCUAUUGCCAGAUUUUGGCCUGCCAACAAGAAACACACAGUGCUAAACUCUACAUGUGCAUGCAUUCUUUGGACUUUAUGGGAGAACAGAAAUGCCCAUGUUUUUAAUAAUGCUGUGUGGAUUGAUUUGAAACAGAUUUGGAGAAAGGUGCUGGAAACAAUGAGGAGAUGGACGAUCUUGCUCGGGGAAGAAGCGAUCCUGCAAUAGGAGAAGAUAGCAAGCCAGAUAUCAUUGAUUUUGGGAACCCCUUUCCAAAUCAUGGCAAGAUGA